UCUAAGUUCCAAACUAGGAUGAAAUCGACUUAAAAGCAAAAUCGAAUAAAGAUUAGACAAGUUUGUGGGUACUUAUAAUUAUUUUGUCUGCAAAAUGUUUUUAGAAUCCUUACCUGUAGAAAACUUUCAAGCCUUUCACGCUUUGCUAUUUCUUUAAGCAAGUUGCAUACACCAUCAUAUUGGUUGACAGAUCCCGGCAACUGCAUGAAACCAUUUUGUUGGAGUUUUACAAUCUAAAUACUACAUAAUGCCAAACCCGCAAACUCGAAGACAAGAAAACUGAAACUAGCAAGAUUAAGAGUGAUGGCCAAACUGCCUCUCUCUAUAAGACUAGCAAAUGAAUAACUAGCCAGAGUUUGAUAUCUCGUUUUGAAAACACAUACUCAAGCCCGUACGAGCUUUUCAACAAUUUUUAUUUCAAGAACUAACUUAGUCAAUCUAGGCAUUUGCAUCCCAUCCAUGCGAGCCAUACCAGGCUGCCCAAAAGGGAGCCAGGCAAGGCCACUUCUAAGUGGUAUUGUUCUUGUUGGGUUUGUGACCCAAUUUCAGUCUAGUGUGAUUUGGAGCAAUGAUUUUGAAGAUAUCAAAAUUAUGGAUCGAAAAGAAAAGUCUCUACAUUUUCACUUCCCCUGUUGUUAGCUUGCCGCUCGAGCAGUAGACGAACUUUUGGAGAAGAAGCUAUCGCCUG
RNAcentral lists this long non-coding RNA (688 nucleotides) under Olea europaea (common olive). Its description in RNAcentral is "long non-coding RNA (OEUR_LNC002755)". The record is from RNAcentral. Lineage: Eukaryota; Viridiplantae; Streptophyta; Magnoliopsida; Lamiales; Oleaceae.